RNAcentral lists this long non-coding RNA (1361 nucleotides) under Gallus gallus (chicken). RNAcentral's name for it is "lncRNA (ENSGALG00010008774.1)". The record is from RNAcentral. Lineage: Eukaryota; Metazoa; Chordata; Aves; Galliformes; Phasianidae.
CCUUUUUCUUACAGAAUCACUGUGGUUCUUUGAGGAACAGAGUCCUGGACCACAGGCAGAAUACAUUGUGAGCUUUCUGUCCAGAAGCAUUUAGUAUCUGGAGGAAGCAGGCACUGCUGUUAUUUGCUGUUGCUGGCUGUCAUGCUGCAUUUUUCCAGCUGGUGCUGCUUCUUUGAAUACCUGUUUGCACUGGGAGGCCACUAGAUGUGGUUCAGAGGAAGCCUGCCAAAAUUUCAGAACUCUGCAUCUUCUCCUUGAGGGCAGACCACUCUCCUAGUGGCCUCUGGAAGCCUGUAUCGAGAUCAAAACUUUGUAAUUCACUUUGCUACAUGGUGAAAUAAGACGUGUUUUUUCUCUUCCCACUCUCCAGAGUUGCUGUCCUUUACUGCCUUUUAGAGGUGAUUAUCACUCCAUUGCUGGCUUCCGGAUUCCAUCCUCCCUCUGAUCCAAGAUCUGUCCUCUCUGGUCUGAAACACUGAUAUCACAGAAGAAAUCAGUUUUUCUGGUUCAGGCUAUUCAGAACUGUUGUUCUUGAGCAAAACAGCCAAAAUAAGAAGAAAGUCUCAAUGCACAAGGAUACUGAGUUGCUCAAGCAUGUGCAAAAAAAGACCAAUGAAGCUGGUGAAGUGACUAGUAAACAAGAUUUAUGAGGAGUGGCUCAGGACACGUGGACUGCUCCACCCUGUAGUGAGAAACACGUCUUUGGUGACACGGGUCCGCAAGCAGUCUGCUUCAAAACUGCAGGUUGAUUAAAAAAGAAAAAAAAACCUACAAUGUUCACACUGCAGGAGUAUCUGUUCUUAAAACCAUUUACAAUAAAGAGGAAACAAAAUAAAAAUAUUGAGAAUGAAGUGGAAAAAUAAAGUAUGUGAUAUGGAGAAGUCAAUUUCGUUAAGAGAUCUGAAGAAAGAGAUGAGAGUAGAAAGGUGAGUAUUUAAAUAUACAAAAUCAAAGCAUAUAAAGAACUACAGAGCCAAAUAGAGGUGAUUUUAAAAAUAAAAUAAAAAUUCUGAUGAGUAAUUUAAAGAGAUUAAAGGCAGAUCUAUCACUCUUCCUGAUAGUGAUUGUUAAACCCUUCUUCUUAUCUAUCUAUCUACUUAUUUAUUUAUUUAUAAUUGAAGACUUUCUGUGGCAAUACUGUAUUCCCUUUAACCAAAUCUCUAUUCCCUUGGUUACUGAUAGAUCCUGAAACAUCAUUAAAGCUUUCUGUAACUCACAAACUUGUUUCUUACAAGUAGAGUUUCCUCACAAGAAUAGUGGUCUGAAAUUCCUAGAGGAAAUGCUUCAUAUAGUUAAAUGGGCUUUGUGUAUCAAAUAAAAUAAUUUGAGGCUCAGAAAAUCUCUCCCUUAACAAAAUUUCC